RNAcentral lists this ribosomal RNA (372 nucleotides) under uncultured bacterium. RNAcentral's name for it is "bacterial SSU rRNA". It matches the Rfam family "Bacterial small subunit ribosomal RNA", at positions 794 to 1178 of the family's 1533-position model. The record is from RNAcentral.
UCCUAGCUGUAAACGAUGGAUACUAGGUGUUGGGGGUAUUGACCCCCUCAGUGCCGCAGCUAACGCGUUAAGUAUCCCGCCUGGGGACUACGGUCGCAAGGCUAAAACUCAAAGGAAUUGACGGGGACCCGCACAAGCAGCGGAGCGUGUGGUUUAAUUCGAUGCUACGCGAAGAACCUUACCUGGGCUUGACAUGUCCGUGGUAGGAAGGCGAAAGCUGGACGACCCUUCGGGGAGCGGACACAGGUGCUGCAUGGCUGUCGUCAGCUCGUGCCGUGAGGUGUCGGGUUAAGUCCCUUAACGAGCGAAACCCUUGUCGCAUGUUACAUGUGUCAUGCGAGACUGCCAAGGUAAAACUGGAGGAAGGUGGGG